This 642-nucleotide ribosomal RNA is filed under the name Enterococcus faecalis. RNAcentral describes it as "bacterial SSU rRNA". It matches the Rfam family "Bacterial small subunit ribosomal RNA", at positions 1 to 618 of the family's 1533-position model. Lineage: Bacteria; Bacillati; Bacillota; Bacilli; Lactobacillales; Enterococcaceae. The record is from RNAcentral.
AUGAGAGUUUGAUCCUGGCUCAGGACGAACGCUGGCGGCGUGCCUAAUACAUGCAAGUCGAACGCUUCUUUCCUCCCGAGUGCUUGCACUCAAUUGGAAAGAGGAGUGGCGGACGGGUGAGUAACACGUGGGUAACCUACCCAUCAGAGGGGGAUAACACUUGGAAACAGGUGCUAAUACCGCAUAACAGUUUAUGCCGCAUGGCAUAAGAGUGAAAGGCGCUUUCGGGUGUCGCUGAUGGAUGGACCCGCGGUGCAUUAGCUAGUUGGUGAGGUAACGGCUCACCAAGGCCACGAUGCAUAGCCGACCUGAGAGGGUGAUCGGCCACACUGGGACUGAGACACGGCCCAGACUCCUACGGGAGGCAGCAGUAGGGAAUCUUCGGCAAUGGACGAAAGUCUGACCGAGCAACGCCGCGUGAGUGAAGAAGGUUUUCGGAUCGUAAAACUCUGUUGUUAGAGAAGAACAAGGACGUUAGUAACUGAACGUCCCCUGACGGUAUCUAACCAGAAAGCCACGGCUAACUACGUGCCAGCAGCCGCGGUAAUACGUAGGUGGCAAGCGUUGUCCGGAUUUAUUGGGCGUAAAGCGAGCGCAGGCGGUUUCUUAAGUCUGAUGUGAAAGCCCCCGGCUCAACCGGGG